RNAcentral lists this ribosomal RNA (258 nucleotides) under uncultured bacterium. RNAcentral's name for it is "partial 16S ribosomal RNA". It matches the Rfam family "Bacterial small subunit ribosomal RNA", at positions 96 to 354 of the family's 1533-position model. The record is from RNAcentral.
UGGCGGACGGGUGAGUAACGCGUGGGUAACCUGCCUUACACAGGGGGAUAACACCUGGAAACAGGUGCUAAUACCGCAUAAGCGCACAGGGCCGCAUGGCCCGGUGUGAAAAACUCCGGUGGUGUAAGAUGGACCCGCGUCUGAUUAGCUUGUUGGCGGGGUAGGGGCCCACCAAGGCGACGAUCAGUAGCCGGCCUGAGAGGGUGGACGGCCACAUUGGGACUGAGACACGGACCAGACUCCUACGGAAGGCAGCAG